Molecule: non-coding RNA, 73 nt
Organism: Ictidomys tridecemlineatus (thirteen-lined ground squirrel)
Lineage: Eukaryota; Metazoa; Chordata; Mammalia; Rodentia; Sciuridae
Source: Rfam
GGGGAUAUAGCUCAGUUGGUAGAGUGCUUGCUUUGUGUACAUGAGGCCCUGGGUUCAAUCCUCAGGACCCCCC